RNAcentral lists this ribosomal RNA (498 nucleotides) under uncultured bacterium. RNAcentral describes it as "bacterial SSU rRNA". It matches the Rfam family "Bacterial small subunit ribosomal RNA", at positions 29 to 511 of the family's 1533-position model. The record is from RNAcentral.
AGUGAACGCUGGCGGCAGGCCUAACACAUGCAAGUCGAGCGGCAGCGCGUCCGACCACCCUCGGGUGGUCGGAUGGCGGCGAGCGGCGGACGGGUGAGGAAUGCAUCGGAAUCUGCCUCGUUGUGGGGGAUAACGUAGGGAAACUUACGCUAAUACCGCAUACGACCUACGGGUGAAAGUGGGGGACCUUCGGGCCUCACGCGAUGAGAUGAGCCGAUGCCGGAUUAGCUAGUUGGCGGGGUAAAGGCCCACCAAGGCGACGAUCGAUAGCUGGUCUGAGAGGAUGAUCAGCCACACUGGAACUGAGACACGGUCCAGACUCCUACGGGAGGCAGCAGUAGGGAAUAUUGGACAAUGGGGGCAACCCUGAUCCAGCCAUGCCGCGUGAGUGAAGAAGGCCCUCGGGUUGUAAAGCUCUUUUGUCCGGAAAGAAAGCAUCUGGUUAAUACCCGGGUGUUCUGACGGUACCGAAGAUAAGCACCGGUAACUUCGUGCCAG